This 433-nucleotide ribosomal RNA is filed under the name uncultured bacterium. Its description in RNAcentral is "partial 16S ribosomal RNA". It matches the Rfam family "Bacterial small subunit ribosomal RNA", at positions 29 to 507 of the family's 1533-position model. The record is from RNAcentral.
AACGAACGCUGGCGGCAGGCCUAACACAUGCAAGUCGAGCGAGACCUUCGGGUCUAGCGGCGGACGGGUGAGUAACGCGUGGGAACGUGCCCUUUUCUACGGAAUACCCUCGGGAAACUGAGCGUAAUACCGGAUACGCCCUUUGGGGGAAAGAUAUGUCGUAGAAGGAUCGGCCCGCGUUGGAUUCGGUAGUUGGUGGGGUAAUGGCCUACCAAGCCUACGAUCCAUAGCUGGUUUGAGAGGAAGAUCAGCCACACUGGGACUGAGACACGGCCCAGACUCCUACGCGAGGCAGGAGUGGGGAAUCUUAGACAAUCGGGGCAACGCUGAACUACCCAUGCCGCGUGAGUGAUGAAGGCCUGAGGGUUGUAAAGCUCUUUCAGCUGGGAAGAUAAUGACGGUACCAGCAGAAGAAGCCCCGGCUAACUCCGUG